This 520-nucleotide ribosomal RNA is filed under the name Ceratitis n. sp. CO. RNAcentral's name for it is "partial 16S ribosomal RNA". The stretch from base 391 to 520 matches the Rfam family "Bacterial large subunit ribosomal RNA", at positions 2473 to 2601 of the family's 2925-position model. The record is from RNAcentral. Lineage: Eukaryota; Metazoa; Arthropoda; Insecta; Diptera; Tephritidae.
GUCUUUUUGAGUUAUUUUUAAAGUCUGACCUGCCCACUGAAUAUUUUUAAAUGGCCGCAGUAUUCUAACUGUGCAAAGGUAGCAUAAUCAUUAGUCUUUUAAUUGAAGGCUGGUAUGAACGGUUGGACGAAGUAUAAGCUGUUUCAUAUAAAAUUAUAUUAGAAUUUUAUAUUUUAGUUAAAAAGCUAAAAUAUAAUUAAAAGACGAGAAGACCCUAUAAAUCUUUAUAUUUAAUAUUAUUCAAAUUUUUUUGGUUAAUUUUAUUUUUAUUAUAUUAAAUAUUUUGUUGGGGUGAUAUUAAAAUUUAAUAAACUUUUAAUUUUGAAUUAAAACAUUAAUUUAUGAAUAGUUGAUCCAUUAUUAAUGAUUAUAAGAUUAAGUUACUUUAGGGAUAACAGCGUAAUUUUUUUUGAGAGUUCAUAUCGACAAAAAAGUUUGCGACCUCGAUGUUGGAUUAAGAUAUAUAUUUAGGUGUAGCCGUUUAAAUAUUGAGUCUGUUCGACUUUUAAAAUUCUUACAU